Molecule: long non-coding RNA, 646 nt
Filed under: Rattus norvegicus (Norway rat)
Lineage: Eukaryota; Metazoa; Chordata; Mammalia; Rodentia; Muridae
Description: long non-coding RNA NONRATT019066
Source: RNAcentral
GAUACGCAGGAAAAAGGAAUUCCGAGCCGAUGCUCGGGCUGUCAUUUCGCUGAUGGAGAUGGGCUUUGAUGAGAAGGAAGUGAUUGAUGCCCUCCGAGUGAACAACAACCAGCAGAACGCAGCUCAUUUGAAGACAUGCUGGAGAACCCACUUAACAGCACCCAGUGGAUGAACGACCCAGAGACGGGCCCGGUCAUGCUGCAGAUCUCGAGAAUCUUCCAGACACUGAAUCGCACGUAGGUGGUGCCUACUGUGCUCCUUGGCUGUGCAGUCUCAGCAGUCUGUGAGGCGGUGGGCGCAGGGCCCAGCCAGGAUCUUGCCUGGAUCACAGCUUCAGUGACUCUCCUUUCCUGACCUAACGGCUUGUCAUCUUCUGCCACAUGGUUUGAAAGUUGCAGUCCCAGCUUCUGACAGGUGUUUACAGAGAGUGGCUAUUGCACUGGGAAGGUGGUGUUUGCUGCCCCGUCCCCUCCAGACACUCUGCUGGGCUCCUGAAGUGCUACUUGAAUUGACCCUUAGGUGUUUGCUUGUGUAGCCCAAUGUAUUUUAAAGAAGGCAUGUUCUGAUCCAAAGUGUUAUGUCAAGUGUGCUAAUUUAACUAGACUGACUCACAGAUGGCUUCUUUAAUAAAUAAACCCUUUUCCUA